UUAAAUUGUUGAAAUAAUAAAAAUACAAGGGUUUGUUGUGAAAUUAUUGCAAAUUAGGCUGUAUUGAAUGCCAUGAAUAUUCAACUAGCAUGAGUUUGCAUUAAAAAUGGUUAAUUUGCAUGUUUUGGGCUCAGAGACUAAAUUGAAUAAAAGUAAAAUUUUAGGGGUAAUUUUGUAAAAAUAUAAAAAUACUAAAUUUUAUAAAAUAAAUUAUUUUAUUGUUUAAAUUAAUAAAUUGAAUGAAAUUAUUAAUUUAGAUCAAGAUUGGGUGGAAAAUCGAGGAAAAUAUAAAAUUAUCAAAAUGCUCCUGAAUCUUGGUAUUUUUGCAAUUUAGCCAGGUAAGUUUAUACGGUUAAAUUUAACAUUUGUAUUAAUUGGUGAUUGGUAUUAUAUAUAUUCUACUGUUGGAAAUGAAUUAUUGUUUGAAUUAUAGUAUUGAAUUGGAUAUUCGGUUUGAAUUGAACGCGAGAUUUAAAUACAUUUGUAUUUUGGUGUAUGACGGGGGUUUGGAGUGGAGAUUUAGAGGGAGAUAUCGGUAUAUUACCCAAGUAAACCGGGGUUCAACAUUUGUUGCGAACUCUCGUGUUUUACUUUCUGUUUGGAGUGAUUUUUGUGGAUUAGCUCUUACAAGCUUCUGUUCAGCUUUCACGAGCUUCUGUUGGCGUGUUCUGGUGGAUUAGCUCUAUGAACUUCUGUUGAUGAUGUACUCUUAUCCGUAAGUCGUUCUUUGAAUCGAAAAUCUCGAUAAGGUAAUCUGUUUAAUGAAUUUUUAAAGAUUUAUUAUUUGUUGAAUAUUGAUCUGAACAUAAAUGAAUUCAAUAGUUGAGAUUAUGGAUGAUGCAUAGGUUUAUGCUAAGCUUAUAGUUACAUUAUCUCAUGUUUAAUAUUAAUGAUAUACAAUGAAAUGAUAAAUGAAAAAAAUGGGAAUAUGCUUAUAUUCAUGAAAAGCUGGUAUGAAUCAAAAGGUGAAUUUUUUAUAAAAUGGUUUAUCAUGCGAUUGACUCCAAAUGAGUUGUAUACUUAAAUGCACUAACUUGUGUAUCGAUGAUGGUGAUUAGGCUUAUGUCAAGCUUGAGAUCAUGAUUGAUGUUUAUGCUUAUAUCUGGUAUUAUAUAAAUGAAACGACUAAGAAAAAGUAAUGAAACGGUAAGUUCAUUAUUGAAAUGUGAUAUGACGAAAAAGGGAUUGAUGAAUUGAGUGAUGUACUUAUAUAUGAGAAAUUACGUAUGUUAUGAAUGAACUUACCUAUGAUGUGAAUAAAUAUACUAAUCAGUGAGUUGAUGUUGUUAUUUAAGUUUAUGCUUACUAAGUGGAAUGGAAAGUAAGUAAAGGAAGUAAUUCAUAGUUCUUUGAAAAGGUUAAUGAUAGUAUAUAAUGUUUAUAAAAUCCUAUUAAGUUAGGAAUGAAAAAUAUAUAUUUAUGAUGUUGAUAGACUUACUCAUUUAUAAGUUGAUGGUUAUGUAGUUGACAAAUCUUGAGGCAUUGGUAUAGGUUUAUAUUUAAUCUAUAAAGUUCAUUGAUGAAAUGAAAUGUUAUGUUUAAAGUUUAUACAAGCUUACUAAGCAUUCAUUGCUUACACAUUUAUUUUUCCUUUACUUUUCAGAUUAUCGGAAGCUCGAUCGGGUUGGAAACUUGUCGGAGCUAUAUCACACUAUCCAUCAG
RNAcentral lists this long non-coding RNA (1662 nucleotides) under Gossypium raimondii (Peruvian cotton). RNAcentral describes it as "long non-coding RNA (GRAI_LNC006705)". The record is from RNAcentral. Lineage: Eukaryota; Viridiplantae; Streptophyta; Magnoliopsida; Malvales; Malvaceae.